CGCGACCCCAGGUCAGGCGGGGUUACCCGCUGAAUUUAA
Molecule: ribosomal RNA, 39 nt
Filed under: Potentilla indica
Lineage: Eukaryota; Viridiplantae; Streptophyta; Magnoliopsida; Rosales; Rosaceae
Also listed under: 59 other names
Description: partial 26S ribosomal RNA
Source: RNAcentral